AGAACAUCUUGGCUCUUGGCUUGCCAAGAGUUCUUGGCCAGAAAUGCAGCUUGUUGAGGGCAAUUCAUUUUAUCUGAUUAACAGUAACUGCAAUCUAGGCAGGAUGGAGGGCCUGGGAGGCUAUCACGGAAAUAUGGUAGCAGAAUUCAAAAUUAAGGCUGGUCCCAGGCAGGAAGGACAUGCAGGCCCAUGGCUGCAGCCGUCAGAGUGGUGGCCUGACCCCAGGCUGCCCCUGAGGCUCUCUGUUCUGCAUUUCCUGAGUCAGCAGGACCGGGCAGUGAGCGGGUAUUGGGGGGGCUGUGUCGGCAGCUGCUGUAAGUUCUGGAAUCAGAAAGCUUUCCUGACUUUUCCCUCUUGUUCACCUUUAGGCAGAACAACUCAUCCGAGGUCACAUCACUCCUGUGUCUGAGCCCGGGCUCUUCAGGGGAAGACGGGACCAAGUGAUUUUCUCUUAAUUUUCCCUGGAAGCAUAAGAAGUGUCUGGGAAGUUCAUCCUCGUUGCUGCAUGUAUCUGGGACUCAUUUCUUUAUAUUGCUGAGAGGGAUUCCAUCCUUGUGUCCAGAGGAAAAUGGAAUCUUUGAAAGUCUUCGAGAGACAAUGGAAGUAACCACCUGUUUUCUCAGCUGGGAUUUAUGCCAAGAAUGUAGAAAAGACUGUGUCUGGAGAGUGUGGGUGGAUUCACAUGAAGAUGCUGUUCAGACUCUCAACAAACCU
Non-coding RNA from Vicugna pacos (alpaca), 714 nucleotides. Lineage: Eukaryota; Metazoa; Chordata; Mammalia; Artiodactyla; Camelidae. The record is from RefSeq and is a predicted model, not a curated record.